CGGCGAGUGAAGCGGCAACAGCUCAAAUUUGAAAUCUGGCCUCGGCCCGAGUUGUAAUUUGCAGAGGAUGCUUCUGGCGCGGGUGCCUUUCGAGUUCCCUGGAACGGGACGCCACAAGGGUGAGAGCCCCGUAUGGUCGGACACCAAGCCUGUGUGAAGCUCCUUCGACGAGUCGAGUAGUUUGGGAAUGCUGCUCUAAAUGGGAGGUAAAUCUCUUCUAAAGCUAAAUACCGGCCAGAGACCGAUAGCGCACAAGUAGAGUGAUCGAAAGAUGAAAAGCACCUUGAAAAGGGGGUUAAAUAGUACGUGAAAUUGUUGAAAGGGAAGCACUUAUGACCAGACUUGGGCCGGGCGGCUCAUCAGGGGUUCUCCCCUGUGCACUCCGCCCGGCACAGGCCAGCAUCGGUUCUCGUGGGGGGAUAAGACCGUCAGGAACGUAGCACCCUCCGGGGUGUGUUAUAGCCUGGCGGACGAUACCCCCGUGGGGACCGAGGUCCGCGCUCCGCAAGGAUGCUGGCGUAAU
RNAcentral lists this ribosomal RNA (523 nucleotides) under Diaporthe melonis var. melonis. RNAcentral describes it as "eukaryotic LSU rRNA". It matches the Rfam family "Eukaryotic large subunit ribosomal RNA", at positions 87 to 635 of the family's 3401-position model. Lineage: Eukaryota; Fungi; Ascomycota; Sordariomycetes; Diaporthales; Diaporthaceae. The record is from RNAcentral.